UACUCCUACGGGAGGCAGCAGUGGGGAAUAUUGCACAAUGGGCGCAAGCCUGAUGCAGCCAUGCCGCGUGUAUGAAGAAGGCCUUAGGGUUGUAAAGUACUUUCAGCGGGGAGGAAGGUGUUAAGAUUAAUACUCUUAGCAAUUGACGUUACCCGCAGAAGAAGCACCGGCUAACUCCGUGCCAGCAGCCGCGGUAAUA
RNAcentral lists this ribosomal RNA (199 nucleotides) under Proteus sp. Hb-0203. Its description in RNAcentral is "16S ribosomal RNA". It matches the Rfam family "Bacterial small subunit ribosomal RNA", at positions 334 to 525 of the family's 1533-position model. Lineage: Bacteria; Pseudomonadati; Pseudomonadota; Gammaproteobacteria; Enterobacterales; Morganellaceae. The record is from RNAcentral.